This is an RNA transcript of Teleopsis dalmanni, 4685 nucleotides long. It is a transcript of the gene named sodium/calcium exchanger 1-like, with no coding region annotated. The record is from RefSeq and is a predicted model, not a curated record. The transcript is spliced from 12 exons. NCBI's taxonomy places the organism in Eukaryota, Metazoa, Arthropoda, Insecta, Diptera, Diopsidae.
UUUUAGUAGUCGAAUUGGUAAGAGCGAACGCGGUCGUUUGCGGUGUAAAUAAUUGUAAUUGCACAAUUCGCGUUUAUAAAUAAAUAAUAUUUAUAGUUUUGUGUAAAAAAAAAUACUAAAUUUAACGUAGACGGAUCAAGUGCGUGGGUUGAAAGUUCGUGCCGGACAAUACAUGAAAAAAUUGCGAAAUUCUAUUUUGUACUGUACUUCACUGUAAUCACUGAAGUUUUUACCUUUUCCGAAUUCACUCAACUCAAUAUUUAGCAAAAAUACCUAAGCAGUUGCAACGAAAUUUCAAGUAGUUAAGAACAGAAAUUAGUACGGUAACAAUUACAAACUAAAACAAAUUCAACAAAUUCAACAAAUUCAAUUACGAAAGCCUUUACAAGAAAGAAAAAAAUUUUGAGGCAAAGAAUUAAUGUUUGAAAAAUAUUUGAAUGUGCAAAAGUGCACUUGAAUGAAAAAUGUCAAGGAACAUUGAUUACGGUUUAUAUUGUAAAAUGGCAGGAUAGUUAUUAAGCUCACAUAUUAAAGCCAAAAUUGCACUGACAAAUUUUCAUCUCUCUCUUACUAAAUCGGAAUAUUGCAUCAUUGGUGUUAAAGUAACGAAUUUUAAAAAGGAAUUACUAGAAAACGCAUUAAGCAUCUAUCGAACACGGCCAGAGUCAAAGCAAUAUCUGAUUUCAAGGCUUUUACUAAAUCUAACAAACCAAAGAAACCAGCUUCAACCGCAGCAAAUAGAGUUUAGAAUAGUCCAGUAGUCCAAGAGUAUGUCGCUUAAUCGUUCAUAGCACGCACCUAUUGUUAGAAGUUGUUGCAUCAUCACACUUGCAACAUCAACCGCAACUAAACCAUACAAAAGUAAUUGUGAAAAGUAUUUGAAUAAAUUUUAAAUAACAGAAGCGCAAAGCAAACAUAAAUUCAUAACUUAUUAAAUUUAAGCAAACAAUCCAACAUUAGUAGACCAAAAAAUAACUUUCACCUCUCAGACACAUUGCACCCAAGCUUUAUGCUACACGCUCACAUCCCAGAGGUUGAAUGUAAAUCCAAGAUAUCACAGUAAUAGAAUAAUUUCAAUAACAAAAGCAAAAGCAAAAGCAAAAGCAAAAGCAAAAACAAAAUCAAGCAAACAAGACACGGCACGCCCAAUCAAAUAUCAACCGUCCAAAGCUCACUUUAGGCAAAUUGCAUUAACUAACACUAAACAGCACUUUCGUUCAAAGAAAAUCUCGCCUUUCUCACUUCCUCGCCAGAUAAUAAAAUUUUAAUCUAAUUUACAUUUUAAACAACUACAACUACACCAACGUUAGCAACAACAACGAUAAUGUUUGGUAGCAGCAAACGAUUUACGAACCAUCUAAUAUUAGCGCUUUGUCUGCUCCUGGUGUGUACAACAACACUUACGCUUGCUCAAAAUACAGAAGAAAACACCACGCCCAUAAGUAAUGUCACAGCGCUGCCUGCAACGCAGGAGGACAUCUGCAAGGAUGGCCUCAUACUAAAAGUUUGGAAACCGCAGGACAAUAUAACGAUAGGCGAUCGUGUCGCGCGUGGUCUAUGUUAUUUUAUUGCGAUGGUUUAUUUGUUUAUUGGCGUUUCAAUUGCUUCUGAUCGUUUUAUGGCAGCGAUUGAGGUGAUCACGUCCAAAGAGAAGGAAGUUGUUGUCAAGAAGAAGGGUGGUGAGAAACAGAUUGUAGUUGUGCGAGUCUGGAAUGAAACUGUUGCUAACUUGACAUUAAUGGCGUUGGGCUCAAGUGCUCCGGAAAUCCUGCUUUCUGUUAUUGAAAUGUUUGCGAAAAAGUUUGAAGCUGGUGAUUUAGGACCUGGUACAAUUGUAGGCUCUGCUGCAUAUAACUUAUUCGUUAUCAUAGCAUUGUGUAUAGUUGUGAUACCGAAAGGAGAAGUGCGUAAAAUUAAGCAUUUACGAGUGUUUUUCGUCACAGCAACGUGGUCAAUAUUUGCCUAUAUAUGGCUAUAUUUAAUAUUGGCUCAAAUUACGCCUGGCCGUGUUGAUGUGUGGGAGGGCUUGUUAACGUUUAUGUUUUUCCCUGCAACAGUAUUAACAGCAUACAUUGCUGAUCGUCGUCUAUUAAUCUAUAAAUAUUUGGAUAAAAAUUAUCGUAUGAAUAAGCGUGGUGUUAUUGUAAGCGCCGAGGGCGAUGCAGCGCUAGAAAUGAAUCAACCGGAGGAAACCGACAUUAAAACCUUCGAUGAGAGUGAGGAAACUAAAGACUUUGAGGAGGCGAGACGUGAAUACAUUUCGACGCUAAAAGAUCUACGCAAAAAAUACCCACAAAGCGAUCUGGAGCAAUUAGAAAUGAUGGCACAUGAACAACUCAUAAAUCGUGGACCCAAAUCUCGAGCAUUUUAUCGUAUACAAGCAACACGAAAGCUGAUGGGUAGUGGCAAUAUAAUGAAGAAAGCCCAAGAACGUGCACAAAUGAACUUAAGUGAAGUUAAAGCGGAAUUGCAACGCGUAGAUGUGACCAUUCAGGAAGAGGAAUCACCAAUGCAAAUCUUUUUCGAACCUGGUCAUUAUACGGUUAUGGAAAGUUGUGGCGAAUUUGAAAUGCGGGUAGUGCGGCGUGGUGAUAUUUCCGGUUAUACAACUGUAGAGUAUGAGACAGAAGAUGGUUCUGCUGAAGCUGGUAGUGAUUACAUUGGAAAAAAAGGUGUACUUACUUUUCUACCCGGUGUGGAUGAGCAACGCUUCAAAAUUGAAAUUAUAGAUGACGAUGUCUUCGAGCAGGAUGAACAUUUUUAUGUGCGUUUAAGUAAUCCAUCCGAAUCCGCUACACUAUCAACUCCAAAGGUAGCCACUGUUAUGAUAUUGGAUGAUGAUCAUUCUGGCAUAUUUGCAUUCCAACAAUUCAAUCAUGAACUUAAUGAAUCGGUAGGCUGUUAUGAACUAAAGGUACAACGGUAUUCCGGUGCGCGCGGAAAAGUUAUUAUACCCUAUUGGACGGAGGAUGGUACUGCGAAAGCCGGCAAGGAAUAUGAACCAUUGCAGGGUGAAUUGGUAUUCGAAAACAAUGAAAUUGAGAAAGUGAUACCAUUGGGAAUCGUGGAAGAAGGAAGCUAUGAGAAGGAUGUCCUAUUCUAUGUCAACAUUGGUGCACCCGUCUUGGCCCCAGAAAAUAGCACUAAAAAGGACGCCUUUAGUUUUCUGAACAGAAUUUUUGUAGGCACCAGAUAUAACGAACCUCAAGGAACUGCAGGAGAUGAUGACGAAUUAAUAGGACUAAUUCAGAACGCCGAGUCGAAGCCACCAGAAGAUCUGACAGAAGAGGAGAAAAUGGCACUUCUGGGUCGGCCGAAACUUGGUGAGGUUGUCCGCGCACAAUUGCGAAUUAAAGAAAGUAAAGAAUUCAGGAACACAGUUGACAAGCUCGUUCAAAAAACCAAUGCGUCUUUGUUGAUCGGGACAUCUUCCUGGAAGGAACAGUUCACAGAAGCUCUUACAGUGAGUGCAGGCAACAAUGAUGACGAUGAAGAGGACGAAAGUAGUACUCCUAGUUGUCUGGAUUAUAUUAUGCAUUUCUUAACAAUAUUUUGGAAAAUAUUGUUUGCAUUCAUCCCACCUACAAAUGUCGCCGGUGGCUAUUUAUGCUUCACCAUAUCCAUUUCAGUGAUUGGCAUUAUUACAGCUGUAAUAGGAGAUGUGGCUUCACAUUUUGGUUGUACACUUGGUAUUAAAGAUGCAGUCACUGCCAUUUGCCUUGUCGCACUUGGAACAAGUAUACCAGAUACUUUUGCCAGUAAAGUAGCAGCAAUUCAGGAUAAGUAUGCAGACGCGAGUAUUGGAAAUGUAACUGGCAGUAAUGCAGUGAAUGUCUUCCUUGGCAUUGGAGUGGCGUGGACGAUGGCUGCUAUCUACCACUCAGCGCAUGGCAACACAUUUCAAGUAUCGGUGGGCACCUUGGCGUUUUCUGUGACACUUUUCAUUUCGGAAGCCAUUAUUGCUUUUGCCGUGCUAAUGUAUAGACGCAGAAAAGGCGGUGAACUGGGUGGUGCAGUUGGUCUUAAGUACUUCACCGGUGGCAUUUUCUUCCUUUUAUGGGUUCUAUACUUGGUUAUAAGCACAUUGGAAGCUUAUGAAAUCAUCGCAGGAUUUUAAGAAGUUUAAGUUUAAUGCCAACGGUAACAAUAGAGCAUCCUUAAGGAUAUUUGUUAGCUCACUCAUAAGCAUGCCUUACGAAAGGCAAUGUCAUGUCAAGUUAUAGAAUAAAAGCAUAAGUGUUUAAAAUUAAUACUAAAUAAAUUUAAACUAACAAAAAAAGAAAUUAAACAAAAUAUUUAAAUGAAUGCUUAAAAACCACUACAAAGAAAAAGAAAACAAAAAACAUAAGGACUACAAAAUGGAAAGCUAUAAAGUACAAUAAAGCGGUGUCCUGGGCGGUUAAACUAUACUAUUAAAGCGAUAUAUUCAACCGUUUUCGGUUCCUGGCUGCAAUACAUUUGGUCAAAGACAUGAAUACAGACGAACUACUUGACGAUAGGAACUGGGAACGUUUCAGAUUAUUUUUUGCACAAACGCUCAUGGAAUAUCAAAAAAUAUAUAAAAAUUAUUCUAGUCGCGUUAAAAUCCCAUUAAGAUUAUUUAUGUGUAAUUAUAUGGUAACAAAGAUUACCGUUUUCUAUAUAUAUUACGCUUGUUACUGGUCUUGUCUCCAACAAAAAAUCAA